This 700-nucleotide long non-coding RNA is filed under the name Homo sapiens (human). RNAcentral describes it as "HSALNT0144394". Lineage: Eukaryota; Metazoa; Chordata; Mammalia; Primates; Hominidae. The record is from RNAcentral.
AAAUAACUGUUUCCCAUGAAUGCAGUGAAUUUAGAAAGCUGUUCUUCUGCCUGAAUAGCAGAAAAAAAGAUACAAAAAAUAUGGAAGAAUCAACCUGCGGUAGUAUCUCAAAAUUACCUGUCUAUAAAAGUACAAUGAUGAAGAUAUAAAAAAAAACUCUAAGAACAAAAACAGUAAUGAAGAUGCAUGGACUCCAGAUUGGUGUGGUUUUAAGAAAGCUAUAGCUUGUGUAAGCUAGAAGCCUUCACUGUGGUUGUGUUUCAGAAGAGGUCUGUGGACUGAGCCUCAUGUCUCUGGCUUCACAGUGGAGGCUGAAGUGCACUCAUCACUGUUGUUAAUAACAAGAGCCUCCAAAAUAUCAAUAUGUGAGCAACACAGUUGUAACACAUUUAGCCAACUUGUAAUGCAAUGUAAACGUUCCAUUAUACAAAAUUUCAAACAUACACAAAAGUGGACAGAACAGUAUUGUGAACCUCCACAUACUCCCCAGCCAUCUUCCACAGUGUUCAAUGUUCAUGGCCCAUCUGGUUCAUGUGUACCUCCCACACCUGUGCAUCCUUUUCAACCCUACACUGAGUUAUUUUGAAGCACAUAAAGAUUGCCAGCAAAAUGUGGAACUAUCAGCAGAAUAUACUGUACAGGUUCUCUAACAUAUUCAACUAUUUAAAUCAUAAUUAAAAGUUUUUAAGUUUUAAGUGAG